UCCGGCUUAUCACCGGCAGUAUCUUCAGAGUUCCCAACUUAAUGAUGGCAACUGAAGAGGAGGGUUGCGCUCGUUGCGGGACUUAACCCAACAUCUCACGACACGAGCUGACGACAGCCAUGCAGCACCUGUGUGGAGUCCGGCCGAACCGACAAUCUCUAUCUCUAGAAAUCUUAACUCCCAUGUCAAAGGCUGGUAAGGUUCUUCGCGUUGCGUCGAAUUAAACCACAUGCUCCACCGCUUGUGCGGGCCCCCGUCAAUUCCUUUAAGUUUUAGUCUUGCGACCGUAUUCCUCAGGCGGAAUGCUUAAUGCGUUAGCGACGACACCAAGCCCCGAAAGACCUGACAUCUAGCAUUCAUCGUUUAUGGCGUGGACUAC
RNAcentral lists this unclassified non-coding RNA (379 nucleotides) under uncultured Alphaproteobacteria bacterium. RNAcentral describes it as "contains 16S-23S intergenic spacer region". Lineage: Bacteria; Pseudomonadati; Pseudomonadota; Alphaproteobacteria. The record is from RNAcentral.